CAAAUGGCCCUUUUCAGGGCCCCAAAGUAUUAACACGAUGGUACGAU
Molecule: non-coding RNA, 47 nt
Organism: Lasius niger
Lineage: Eukaryota; Metazoa; Arthropoda; Insecta; Hymenoptera; Formicidae
Source: Rfam